CCGAAUUAGACGUACCGACACAGUAACAGGGUAAUACUAGUGUGGGGCCGAUACUGAGACGGCAUAUCUUGGUUCUGAGUAUGUACUCUAGAAGCAAAAGGAAGGAACAACGAAGAGCCUAAAACAAAAAUAGUAAUAUGUGAGAUAGAAAAGAUGCAAGAUCCUUAGAGACAUUGUGGGAAGAACAUAGUUGCUACAAUCCAAAAAAGGAAAGAGCAAAACAGUUAACUACCCGAAAAAAGAAAGAACUAUCUGAACUUAAAAAUGCAAAAGAUGUGGGAAUAUGACAUACUAUAUUCAGUGGAUUGAUCAUAGAGAAUUUGCAAUGUGAUAGAUGAAGUAUGUUGGUGGCCAAAACAUACACACACACAGUGAGAGAGGGAGAGAGAGAGUCAGAGAUGAAAUUGAAGAAUUUCAAAUAUAUUGAAAAAGCUAAUAAAGCUAAACAGGUAGCAAGGCUACAUAUACAGUUUGUUAAUUAAGAAUGGUGGUCAUAUUCGUGGACAUCAAAAAAUCCAUUUUAUGUCUGAGUUCUUGUUUUCAAAUAAAAUAGAUUUAUGAAGUCCAUGUGUAUGACCAUUCCCAUCUAAUUACAGUGGAGAUGGCUAAAAAACGGAUGCGACAGGUUAAGGCAUAUAUGCAGUUUGUAAAUUAAGAAUGGUCAUAUUCGUGGACACCAAAAAAUCCAAUUCUAUGUCUGAGUUUUUAUACUCAACUAGAAUGGAUUCUUGAUGUCCAUGUGUAUGACCAUUCAUAUGUAACUACACCGAAGAUGACUAUAUAUGCAGUUUGUAAAUUAAGAACAGUCAUAUUCGUGGACACCAAAAAAUCCAUUUUAAGUCUGAGUUUUUAUAUUUAAAUAGAAUGGAUUUUCGAUGUCCAUGUGUAUGACCAUUCAUAUCUAACUACAGUGUAGAUGGCUAAAAAAAGCAUGUGGCAGAUUAAAGCAUUUGGAUGAUAGCAAAAU
This 967-nucleotide long non-coding RNA is filed under the name Phoenix dactylifera (date palm). RNAcentral's name for it is "long non-coding RNA (PDAC_LNC016721)". The record is from RNAcentral. Lineage: Eukaryota; Viridiplantae; Streptophyta; Magnoliopsida; Arecales; Arecaceae.